GAUGAACGCUGGCGGCGUGCCUAAUACAUGCAAGUCGAGCGAACGGACGAGAAGCUUGCUUCUCUGAUGUUAGCGGCGGACGGGUGAGUAACACGUGGAUAACCUACCUAUAAGACUGGGAUAACUUCGGGAAACCGGAGCUGAUACCGGAUAAUAUUUUGAACCGCAUGGUUCAAAAGUGAAAGACGGUCUUGCUGUCACUUAUAGAUGGAUCCGCGCUGCAUUAGCUAGUUGGUAAGGUAACGGCUUACCAAGGCAACGAUGCAUAGCCGACCUGAGAGGGUGAUCGGCCACACUGGAACUGAGACACGGUCCAGACUCCUACGGUAGGCAGCAGUAGGGAAUCUUCCGCAAUGGGCGAAAGCCUGACGGAGCAACGCCGCGUGAGUGAUGAAGGUCUUCGGAUCGUAAAACUCUGUUAUUAGGGAAGAACAUAUGUGUAAGUAACUGUGCACAUCUUGACGGUACCUAAUCAGAAAGCCACGGCUAACUACGUG
Molecule: ribosomal RNA, 497 nt
Filed under: uncultured bacterium
Lineage: Bacteria
Description: partial 16S ribosomal RNA
Rfam family: Bacterial small subunit ribosomal RNA
Source: RNAcentral